ACAAUGGUGGAGCUAAUAUGGUGAGUGCAAUAAUUUACCAUGUUUAUUUGAGACAUGGCUAUUGUUUGAAAGAGUACGUUUAAGUUAAUUAAUGGUAUAAAUACAAAAAGGGAUGAAUAUACUUCUGUUCUAUCUAGGCUGAGAGUCCUCUUAAUGACUGUCUUGUUUUGGAGGGAACAAGAAAUAGAAGAGAUGCUUUGGAAGUAAAAGUUGUCAAUGACAAGCCUGACAUCACCCAGAUGAUAAUUCAAAGGCCAGCUUGUUUUACAGUAAACCAGGAUGCAGCUGACAAGACAGACUCCAGUAUGAAUCCUCAGCGUUGAUCAAGAAAGCCCACAGCUCAAAACCCAUCUAGAGUGGAAAUCAUCUUGGAAGAAAAUUUUGUAAUGGAUGGACUGACCGAUCUCAGGCCUUCUGUGUCCAUUGUUUUCAGACUGAUUUAUGCCCUGCACCUGGACUAAGUGUAUGAAAAGCACUUUAUAUUUUAUUCAGCAGGUAAUGCUCAACCUCAGAAAAGGUGAGUUAGCACCUAAAAUUCAGUACUGCCAAAAUUGUGAACUGAGAGUGGAAUAAAACCAUAAAAAGUUUGUUAAACUAGUGUUUUCAUGUUUUAUGUGGAAACGUUUU
Long non-coding RNA from Labeo rohita (rohu), 627 nucleotides. RefSeq lists it as uncharacterized. Lineage: Eukaryota; Metazoa; Chordata; Actinopteri; Cypriniformes; Cyprinidae. The transcript has 3 exons. The record is from RefSeq and is a predicted model, not a curated record.